CUACAGCAGACCUGGCAUACUUCACUUCUCUGCGACCUGCUCCCUGAACCUGGUCCACACAACAGUGUGAAAAACUGCCACCCCAAGGAGGAGAAAGACCUCACAAACAGCUCCUGAAUUCUUGAGGAAUGAUGAUGGGUCCGAUCUUGUGCAGGUCUGUGAAGAUGGAUGUGGUGAUGUUUAAGUAGGUUGUCAACUGGACCAGGA
Non-coding RNA from Peromyscus maniculatus bairdii (prairie deer mouse), 207 nucleotides. Lineage: Eukaryota; Metazoa; Chordata; Mammalia; Rodentia; Cricetidae. The record is from RefSeq and is a predicted model, not a curated record.